AUCUGAAGGAUGCACACAAUUAAAUUCUUUUUUAAUUUAAAAUGGCACUUUACACUCCCACUGAGCUAAAGACCAUCUCUAUAUAUAGUGAGUUUUUUAAUUCUUUAAAACACAAAUUGUUUGUGUUUAAAACAUGCAAGUUGUUUGCUCUCACUGGUACCUCUCAGCUCACACUUCAGGGUUUCCAUACAGGGAAGUUCUAUCUUGUGCAAUGUUUCUAGUUAAUUUCCUUUCUGAGCCAUUUAUCUUACUGCACUUUGAACAAGUACAUUAAUUCUGAUUUAAACUUUACUUUAAAAAAUAGAACCUUCAAGUGAAACGUUCAUUGUUAUUUUAUUUAUUACAUCAUUAUGUUGUAUAAUAUUCAGUGUAAUGUUAAUAAGCUAUGAGAAAUGGUGCUGAUUUUAUUAGCCAUUUGUUAUAAAUGCCAAUAAGAUGUUCACCAGGGGUAAGAAUAUACAUUAUCUUUUUAGAAAACCAAGUGUACCUUAUAAGCAAAUGUAACUAUUUACUGGGCAUAUAUGAUUUAAAGGACAUUUUCAUCUGUGUUAGUCCUUUUGUGUUAGAAGAUUCAGAUUUCAACUUGGUCUUCUUUCAAACUGUUUGUGAAGAUGCUGUGCCCACUUGAACAGUCCUCAGGUGUUUGUAUAAGCACUAUGUUUUACAGUUUUUAG
RNAcentral lists this long non-coding RNA (674 nucleotides) under Bos taurus (domestic cattle). Its description in RNAcentral is "long non-coding RNA NONBTAT027020". Lineage: Eukaryota; Metazoa; Chordata; Mammalia; Artiodactyla; Bovidae. The record is from RNAcentral.